GACGAACGCUGGCGGCGUGCUUAACACAUGCAAGUCGAACGGAAAGGCCCUGCUUUUGUGGGGUGCUCGAGUGGCGAACGGGUGAGUAACACGUGAGUAACCUGCCCUUGACUUUGGGAUAACUUCAGGAAACUGGGGCUAAUACCGGAUAGGAGCUCCUGCUGCAUGGUGGGGGUUGGAAAGUUUCGGCGGUUGGGGAUGGACUCGCGGCUUAUCAGCUUGUUGGUGGGGUAGUGGCUUACCAAGGCUUUGACGGGUAGCCGGCCUGAGAGGGCGACCGGCCACAUUGGGACUGAGAUACGGCCCAGACUCCUACGGGAGGCAGCAGUGGGGAAUAUUGCACAAUGGGCGGAAGCCUGAUGCAGUAACGCCGCGUGCGGGAUGACGGCCUUCGGGUUGUAAACCGCUUUCGCCUGUGACGAAGCGUGAGUGACGGUAAUGGGUAAAGAAGCACCGGCUAACUACGUG
This 468-nucleotide ribosomal RNA is filed under the name uncultured bacterium. RNAcentral's name for it is "partial 16S ribosomal RNA". It matches the Rfam family "Bacterial small subunit ribosomal RNA", at positions 28 to 507 of the family's 1533-position model. The record is from RNAcentral.